GCAGAUGUUUGUCCGCCGGUGUCUCCGUACCUGGAAGAGAGCUGCUCUUCUCAAGACCACCUCCAGGUAUCAACGACAGGUAGACUGCCCCCAGGUAUCAACGACAGGUAGACCACCUCCAGGUAUCAACGACAGGUAGACCACCCCCAGGUAUCAACGACAGGUAGACCACCCCCAGGUAUCAACGACAGGUAGACCACCCCCAGGUAUCAACGACAGGUAGACCACCCCCAGGUAUCAACGACAGGUAGACCACCCCCAGGUAUCAAUGACAGGUAGACCACCUCCAGGUAUCAACGACAGGUAUCAACGACAGGUAGACCACUUCCAGGUAUCAACGACAGGUAGACUGCCUCCAGGCAUCAACGACAGGUAGACCACCCCCAGGUAUCAACGACAGGUAGACCACCCCCAGGUAUCAACGACAGGUAGACCACCCCCAGGUAUCAACGACAGGUAGACCACCCCCAGGUAUCAACGACAGGUAGACUGCCCCCGGACCCCGGCUCCCUGCUACCAUCUAGGGCAGAGGGUAUGGCUGUCCACUUGGGAUCUGGCCCCCCCCGGGCAGAGUCCAGUACACUGUCCCCCCAUUUUAUCGGCCCUUUCGCCAUCUCUAAAAUCCAUAGUAUACAAACCCUCCGUAUACAUCCCACUUUUCAUGUAUCAAGGAUUAAACUUCUGUCUCCCUUGCCCUGACCCUGCCUGCCCUGACCCUGCCUGCCCUA
Molecule: long non-coding RNA, 728 nt
Organism: Oncorhynchus tshawytscha (Chinook salmon)
Lineage: Eukaryota; Metazoa; Chordata; Actinopteri; Salmoniformes; Salmonidae
Source: Ensembl